RNAcentral lists this ribosomal RNA (253 nucleotides) under uncultured bacterium. Its description in RNAcentral is "partial 16S ribosomal RNA". It matches the Rfam family "Bacterial small subunit ribosomal RNA", at positions 524 to 776 of the family's 1533-position model. The record is from RNAcentral.
UACGUAGGUGGCAAGCGUUAUCCGGAAUUAUUGGGCGUAAAGCGCGCGCAGGCGGUCCUUUAAGUCUGAUGUGAAAGCCCAUGGCUCAACCGUGGAGGGUCAUUGGAAACUGGGGGACUUGAGUGCAGAAGAGGAAAGCGGAAUUCCACGUGUAGCGGUGAAAUGCGUAGAGAUGUGGAGGAACACCAGUGGCGAAGGCGGCUUUCUGGUCUGUAACUGACGCUGAGGCGCGAAAGCGUGGGGAGCAAACAGG